This 497-nucleotide ribosomal RNA is filed under the name uncultured bacterium. Its description in RNAcentral is "partial 16S ribosomal RNA". It matches the Rfam family "Bacterial small subunit ribosomal RNA", at positions 28 to 507 of the family's 1533-position model. The record is from RNAcentral.
GAUGAACGCUGGCGGCGUGCCUAAUACAUGCAAGUCGAGCGAACAGACGAGGAGCUUGCUCCUCUGACGUUAGCGGCGGACGUGUGAGUAACACGUGGAUACCCUACCUAUAAGACUGGGAUCACUUCGGGAAACCGGAGCUCAUACCGGAUAAUAUAUUGAACCGCAUUGUUCCAUAGUAAAAGACGGUUUUGCUGUCUCUUAUAGCUGGAUCCGCGCCGCAUUAGCUAUUUGCUAAGGUAACGGCUUACCACGGGAACGAUGCGUAGCCAACCUGGGAGGGGGAUCGGCACACCUGGAACGGGAAAACGGUCAAGACUCCUACGGGAGCAGGCAGUAGGGAAUCUUCGGCAAGGGGGGAAGGCCUGACGGGGCAACGCCGCGUGAGUGAUGAAGGUCUUCGGAUCGUAAAACUCUGUUAUUAGGGAAGACCAAAUGUGUAAGUAACUAUGCACGUCUUGACGGUACCUAAUCAGAAAGCCACGGCUAACUACGUG